CCCGCCACUGUACCUGUCUUGUAAUGCAGUGACUUGUAUAGUCCAGAGGUGAGCUGAGAGAAAAUGCCAACCUAGGAAACAGAGUUAUUCUUUUUCUUGUGGGUAACUCUGUGCCGAAGGCUGGGAACAGCA
Molecule: small nucleolar RNA, 132 nt
Organism: Meleagris gallopavo (turkey)
Lineage: Eukaryota; Metazoa; Chordata; Aves; Galliformes; Phasianidae
Source: Ensembl